RNAcentral lists this unclassified non-coding RNA (80 nucleotides) under Pseudomonas arsenicoxydans. Lineage: Bacteria; Pseudomonadati; Pseudomonadota; Gammaproteobacteria; Pseudomonadales; Pseudomonadaceae. The record is from RNAcentral.
UCGAAUGAAACGAGGCUGCGAUCUUUUGACUUUGAUUUUUUAAAGACAAGAUCAAAAGAUCGCAGCCUCGUUUCACUCGA